GGAGCCACCGGAGGCUGUAGUUGCCGGGGAGUCCCGCAUUCAGUCCGCUCAGCCUCUGGGCCGGGCCUCGGCGGCCCCCAGAGCCCCACACCCGCAGGCCCAGGGCCUCCGCGGCAGCGCGGGACUCUCACUCCGCUCUCUCUCCCGCCCGGGGCUUCCACCGCAACUUCUGUGGGCGUCGCAUCGCACGCGUGUUCAAGGACACCCAGGAAAAGGCUUCUUAGGGUCCCAUCCUGGGGCGCUAAAUGGGAACCAGUCAACCCACCCCCAAGCCUACCCUGUCUCCUUGCAAUCAAAUGCAAUCACGAGCAAACCACCUUGCUUCCGAAAGCUUCUCAGGCCUUCCCGGGCGACUGCGCUGUAAGUCUUAAACGUCUCUUAAAGCAAAGUCCACAGAUGGAAGAGUCUGGAAAAAAACCCAGCGGGCCGUUCCCUGGUGACUUUCUGAGUGGUGGGGUUCCAGGAAUUUUUUUUUCAUUUUCUUUAAAAAUAUUAUUUGUAAUUUCCACGUUUUUUCUAAUGAACCAUAAGUUGAUUUUUUAAUUAAAAAGUAGAGUACUCUAAAAUUAUUAAGUACCUACAGAAGUUUCGCUACACGAUCCUGCAAUGUUAGUGGCUUCUUCUCCUCCUUAUCUCCCUUUUUUUUUUUUUUUUUUUAAUUUUAAAAGAGAACAGAGACUCUCAAUUUCUGGGGCGGGACCAGGCUCCUUCCCCCGGCUUUUUAGUGCCCGCCCUCUUGGCCACACCCCACUCCGGCCUUUUUACUCCCGUACCGCCCUCUUCCCGGUGGGUUGCUGCGAAAACCCGGAAAGGUGGACUUUCCACAUUGACGCUCCCGGCGGCUCCGGCAGCCAGACUGGGCAUGUUCCGCCGCCGGGUCAGGCAUUGCUGUGCCAAGAGAGGAGCUUUAGCAACUCUCAGUCUCUCUGCUCCUCUCUGUUCCUGGCAAACUGGCAAAGUAGUGCCUCUGACCCCACGCCCCGAGGUCGGACCUGCAGAAGUGGGUCAGGACCCGACUGAGCAUGCUCCGGGCAGUGCCAGGCUGCCGCACGCGGCUGCAUCUGGUUGCCCAAGGUUGAUGUAGCCGCGGUCUCUCGUCACGACAUCGAAGCUCGGGAAACGGAUGGAAGCAGGGCUCUAGAGAGGCACGAUUGCAUCGACACGUGGGCAGGUCGCCCAUGCCAAGGGCCAUGUUGGUGGGUGGGUGCGUGGGAUCUGUCGUAUGAGUGAGUCAAAGCCUGAUUUUUUCCCCCAAAAAGAUUGAAAUGAGAUAUCAUAUUUUAACAUUAGUUUUAUGGCAUCUUGAAUAGCAACACAUUUUAGCUCAAGGAAUUUUUCAGCUGUCCUUUUGAGAAACGUAAAUUUUCUUUGUUUUUAAGUAUUUAAUAAGCAUUCUUUACAAUUGCACCACAGCGCGAACUUUCCACCUGCUUUAUUAAUUAUGACAUUUGUGUCCCCACUAUUAAAAUAUUCCGCAGUAUUAUAUCCCGUUUUCUUCUCCAGCAUUUCUGCAUUCACUCUGACUCUAUUUCCUCCCCUCCCCCAUCUCUUUUAAAUUCUCAGACAACCUGCAAAAUGCACUCUUGCUAUCUUAGAAACCACUUGAGGUCGGUGUGGGGAACUUGCUUUUAAUUCUCAUUUAGAGAAGACAGUACUGAAAUGGAGAAAAGUCACAGGGAAAGUACUUUUACAGAUUGUAGAUUAGUAAAGAACCCAAAGAGAGCCUUUCAUUGAGAGCAGAAAGGCGAAUGGAAUUCGCUGUUUUCUGUCUAAGGAGGAGGAGGAUGGGCAGGCAGGUCAGCUGCCCAGUGGGGCUUGGUGUGAUAGUGGGAGUCACCCUUCAUUUGAACCUCUCUGCCUUGCCCAGCUCCAGUUCAGCUUCAGCGUGGUCAGAGACACUAUCUCUAUGGAAGGUCACUCCUGGAAGAAUACAUUUACUUAGCUGCUUCCACCAUGGAAUCCUAGCUUGUGCUGGAGUGUCCCCUUCAUCCUCCUCCUGUGCUUUGAGAAUCCAUUGUUGCUGGUAUGCCCUGAGCAGUGCCCUUGAACUUGCCCAGGUACCCCUUGACAUCCACACCACAAAUAGUCUAGCCUUACAAAGGUGGACAAGAUGUCUUUUCAACAGUCUGUACUGCCACUUCCAUCCAUCUGAAGCUUUCUGUUCCUGAGUCUGUCAUGACAUUAAUCUUUCAAAAAUCUUUCACAGAGAUUUUUAGUCUCUACUAAAAAUACAAAACAAUUAGCCAGGCAUAGUGGUGUGUGCCUGUAGUCCCAGCUACUUGGGAGGCUGAGGCAAGAGAAGCGCUUGAAUCUGGGAGGCAGACGUUGUAGUGAGCAGAGAUUGCGCCACUGCACUUCAGCCUGAGCAACAGAGUCAGACUCCAUCUCAAAAAUAAUAAAUAUAUAUAUAUACACACACACACACACAAAUAGUAUGGAUAAAGGGAAGACGCUGACCUAUCAGAACAACUGCCUGAUCAACCAGAAAGGAUUCCAGAAAUGAACACCUCGCAUGGCCAUGUGAGAACAUACCAGCUAACACCCCUUUGACAGCGGCAAUCAUCAGAGAGGAUGACAGCUCUCAGGAAGAAGAGACCACAGAACACCUACAAUGGGGCGGUGCAAAGGAUGAGAAUCUGGAGGAGGAGGAUGAGAAGAAACAGGAUGACCUGCAAUUGCUCUUCUGCUUGUAUUUACUAGCUUGGUUAGCGGGUACCCGUAUCUUCUCAGUCACUUACAUGAUGAAUCUGGGCGUUACCCUAGAUUCAUUCAUCUGCCUUUCCCGUGUCAUCCAGCUGGUCUCCUGGCAUUAUCUAUCCUGUCCUUAUUCAUUUCUGAACACCUCCCUUCCUUGCCUCAUUGCCUGUCUUACUCCAGUCCCCAUCAUCUUCCUGAUCAACCACAGAGCAACAGACUCCUAGAUGGAUCCUCUCUCUGUGUCCCCUCCAAUCCAUCCUCCAUAGCUCCUCAGACUUUUCUUUUUAAGCCAAUUGUAUUACAAUAUGUCUGCUAAAGAUCCUUAAGUGAAUUCAUAAUGCCUUCAGGAUAAGGUCCAAACUUUAAGCAUGAACUGGCUGCUGCCUUCCUUUCCAGAUUAGUCUCCAGCCUGUGUCCCCUAAUAUCCCAUAUCCUCACCAGUCCAAAUUACCUGCCGUGUGAAUUCACACCUCCAUAUAUCUGUUAGUUCUUUUGUCUCUCUUUCUCCUUUCUUCACCUGACAAACUGUUGAGCCUUGGAGAUCCAGUUCAGGCAGGAUGUCCUCUGAUCUUCCCAAGGUGAAUGCCUCUUGAGUACUUCACCUGUUUUCAUUUGACACCUAACCUUGAUUGAUUUUUCUUUCAUCUCCUCCGCUACACUGUAGGCAACCUGAUCGCAAGGGCUGUGUCUCAGCCAUCUUUGUGUCUUCGUUCUUAGUCUUCAAUAGAAUUUUACUUAAUAAAUAAAUACUUAACAUAUGGACUGAUAUAAUGU
RNAcentral lists this long non-coding RNA (3471 nucleotides) under Homo sapiens (human). Its description in RNAcentral is "non-protein coding lnc-CLCN3-12:1". The record is from RNAcentral. Lineage: Eukaryota; Metazoa; Chordata; Mammalia; Primates; Hominidae.